GACGAACGCUGGCGGCGUGCCUAACACAUGCAAGUUGAGCGACGAACCAGGGCUUGCCCUGGGGCAAAGCAGCGAACGGGUGAGUAACACGUGGGUAACCUACCCCGAUAACCGGGACAACCCGAGGAAACUCGGGCUAAUACCGGAUGUGCUCACUGGACUUCGGUUCAGUGCGUAAAGGAAGCUUCGGCCUCCGUAUCGGGAGGGGCCCGCGGCCCAUUAGUUUGUUGGUGAGGUAACGGCUCACCAAGACCGCGAUGGGUAGCUGGUCUGAGAGGACGAUCAGCCACACUGGGACUGAGACACGGCCCAGACUCCUACGGGAGGCAGCAGUGGGGAAUCUUGCGCAAUGCGCGAAAGCGUGACGCAGCAACGCCGCGUGGGGGAAGAAGGCCUUCGGGUUGUAAACCCCUUUCAGGAGGGACGAAGGUUAGGCGGUGAAUAGCCGUCCGGACUGACGGCACCUCCACAAGAAGCCCCGGCUAACUACGUG
Molecule: ribosomal RNA, 493 nt
Filed under: uncultured bacterium
Lineage: Bacteria
Description: partial 16S ribosomal RNA
Rfam family: Bacterial small subunit ribosomal RNA
Source: RNAcentral